This 208-nucleotide microRNA precursor is filed under the name Oryza sativa Indica Group (long-grained rice). RNAcentral's name for it is "MIR812 microRNA precursor family". It matches the Rfam family "MIR812 microRNA precursor family". Lineage: Eukaryota; Viridiplantae; Streptophyta; Magnoliopsida; Poales; Poaceae. The record is from Rfam by way of RNAcentral.
AAAAAAUACAAACCCUGGUUUCCGUGUCCAACAUUUGACCGUCCGUCUUAUUUGAAAAAAUUAUGAAAAAAAUUAAAAAAGACAAGUCAUGUAUAAAAUAUUAAUCAUGUUUUAUCAUCUAACAACAAUGAAAAUACAAAUUAUAAAAAAAUUUCAUAUAAGACGGACAGUCAAAGUUGGACACGGAAACCCAGAGUUUGCAUUUUUU